RNAcentral lists this ribosomal RNA (240 nucleotides) under Tremella sp. RNAcentral describes it as "partial large subunit ribosomal RNA". It matches the Rfam family "Eukaryotic large subunit ribosomal RNA", at positions 202 to 437 of the family's 3401-position model. The record is from RNAcentral. Lineage: Eukaryota; Fungi; Basidiomycota; Tremellomycetes; Tremellales; Tremellaceae.
UCAAAGAGGGUGACAAUCCCGUGCUUGACGCGACCACCGAUGCUAUGUGUUACGUAAUCCGCGAGGUCGAGUUGUUUGGGAAUGCAGCUCUAAAUGGGUGGUAAAUUCCAUCUAAAGCUAAAUAUUGGCGAGAGACCGAUAGCGAACAAGUACCGUGAGGGAAAGAUGAAAAGCACUUUGGAAAGAGAGUUAAACAGCACGUGAAAUUGUUAAAAAGGGAAACGAUUGAAGUCAGUCGUG